This 253-nucleotide ribosomal RNA is filed under the name uncultured bacterium. RNAcentral's name for it is "partial 16S ribosomal RNA". It matches the Rfam family "Bacterial small subunit ribosomal RNA", at positions 524 to 776 of the family's 1533-position model. The record is from RNAcentral.
UACGUAGGGUGCGAGCGUUAAUCGGAAUUACUGGGCGUAAAGCGUGCGCAGGCGGUUUUGUAAGCCAGAUGUGAAAUCCCCGGGCUUAACCUGGGAAUGGCAUUUGGGACUGCAAGGCUGGAGUGUGGCAGAGGAGACUGGAAUUCCCGGUGUAGCAGUGAAAUGCGUAGAUAUCGGGAGGAACACCCGUAGCGAAGGCGGCACUCUGGGCCGGUACUGACGCUGAGGAGCGAAAGCGUGGGGAGCAAACAGG